This is a long non-coding RNA of Oryzias latipes (Japanese medaka), 1023 nucleotides long. RefSeq lists it as uncharacterized. Lineage: Eukaryota; Metazoa; Chordata; Actinopteri; Beloniformes; Adrianichthyidae. The record is from RefSeq and is a predicted model, not a curated record.
UGCGGUCAUGACUUACAGCCACAGUAAUGAAAAGCAGGAGCUGUUGGCGGCAGAUAAGACGGGUUUGCUGAGUCAGCAGAAAAUGAAGCUCAGCCCAGGCGGGAAAAACGGGUAAAAGGAGAAAAAGUUCUGCUGUCAGACAAAAUAUGUCAAGUUUGGACUUAGAGUCCUGAUUCUACACAGUACAAGACGGGCAUAAAAUCACGAAAAGCAGGUCGAUGUAUCUGCAGACAAAAGUGUGAUUUUCAAAGUAAAGUUCCAGUUUGUUCAAUCGGAUCCUUUAAUAUUAAUGUCCCCUUUUUAAUCAUAAUUUUAUACAAAUACAUAAACAAAGGCGUGUUCUAUCCUUUUUUAAUGUAAGACUCCACUUUUCCCGCUCAUUUGGCUCACUUCCUGUGUCCAGCAACAAUAACAGGAAGUAGGAAAAAGGUGCUGGUGAAACAAGGGGGUAAAAGGUCAAAGGAAACAGGAAGUGGCUGAAGGUGGUGGCCAGAGUAAAUCUUUGAUGCGGUUACCGUGAAACAUGAAGCAGAUUUUGGCCUGAACAAAAGCCGGCGAGGGCCGAAUAUUCACGGCUGAUCUGACAGACGAACCAUCCGAAAGCAAAGCAGUAAAAUGUCUUACAGAUUCAAAAACGCUGCAGUUUUUGUGCAUCUUUGCUGUUUAAAGAACGCCUGCGAUUGAUCGGACCGACCAGAACGUGAAUGACGAACCUGCUUGACCCGGUCCGGGUUGACGGUGGUCUGCGGCUGCAGGAUGCUGACCGGCUCUGUCUUCUGGGUGCUCUGAGGCAUCUCCCUCACCUUCUCGGCGAUGAAGUCAUGGACGCCGUUCAGCGCCUCCACAGUCCCUUGAAUCAGACACACCCGCUCUGUCGUUCCUGCACACAAACCGGGGAGUCCAGGUGAAUUCGGGGCCUCCAGAGGCCUUCAUUCAUCUUCCAGAUGACAGAGUUAAAGGGCAGCAGAACACAGGAACAAUAAAGAUUAAAUCAUCAGGAAGAGAAGCACAGAUGAAAGCAAA